GAGAGUAUUUGCUGUAAGGGCUUCAAAAUUAAAUAGUCUUACGUUUUUUCUUUCCAAAUCAGCCAGUAGGCAGUUGACGCAAUAACCUUCCAUGCUUGCUUGGUGGUUUUGGUUAGUAGUCAUUCAUGCCAGCCUUCCCAUGGAUCUUUGACAGAUGAUUAUUUUACCGAGAUGUCAAGCUUUAUGGUGAGUCUCUGCCAAAUAGAUGCUGCAUAUGUACACAAGAUGAAGAGG
Molecule: long non-coding RNA, 234 nt
Filed under: Elaeis guineensis (African oil palm)
Lineage: Eukaryota; Viridiplantae; Streptophyta; Magnoliopsida; Arecales; Arecaceae
Description: long non-coding RNA (EGUI_LNC029779)
Source: RNAcentral